Molecule: long non-coding RNA, 328 nt
Filed under: Fukomys damarensis (Damara mole-rat)
Lineage: Eukaryota; Metazoa; Chordata; Mammalia; Rodentia; Bathyergidae
Description: lncRNA (ENSFDAG00000029825.1)
Source: RNAcentral
CAUGGAUUUCAAGGUACUUCUGACCACAAGAUAUUGUAAAUUUCCAGCAAAACGCAAGCUAAAUGAGUCUGUUUAAAGAUCAAAGACUAAGACAGAUUGAAACUUUGAUCUUCGCAAUACUGCCUGAGUUUCAAGUGGCAUGAUAGCGCUUUGCUUCUUCAUCAUGACUCUGCUUUUCCACCAACGCAUACGAUCUGCCAAACCAAAGGUGGUUUUUAGACUAACAGGCAAGGCUAAUGAGGAAUCAUCAACUAAAGUGUGUCUGGCAAGUCUUUGGGUUUUUCCAAACCUUCUCCGAUGUUAAACUUACCAUGAAGCUGUGCAGUGC